Molecule: long non-coding RNA, 573 nt
Filed under: Struthio camelus australis
Lineage: Eukaryota; Metazoa; Chordata; Aves; Struthioniformes; Struthionidae
Description: lncRNA (ENSSCUG00000004286.1)
Source: RNAcentral
AAGAGGCGUCUGGCAAAACACCGAACGGCAUCAGCCACUGGUGACGGAGACAAGCAGCAUAACGCGGCGCGUCCGCCAAGCAGGACAAACGCAACAGCCUCUGCCCGUGGCGAGCAAGGACAACUCUGUCGCCCGCCGCGGAGACGCGACAAAGCGACUGCCCAGCCCCGACUCCCUGGCUGCUGCUCUCCCCGUGCGAAAAGGAAAGAGGAGGACACGACAUCUCCAGCACCGAGCCCGCUCCCGUGCAAACAAGGCUGCAUCCCAGGGACCUGGAAUCUUGGGGAUGCCUGAUCUUUCCUGAUCUCUUCCCCAGACUUACUGGGGUUGCAGCUUUUGGCCUUUUACAACGGGUUUUGGUCCGUCAUAGUGUGUCGGUAAGUGUUUUUUGGCCAUGCUUGUCCCGGCAUGUGGACUUUUUGUUUGCCUGUCAAAACCAGACAUCUAUUCCUUUGUUACUUUGUAAUUUACUUGUGUUUCUUGUAACUAGAGGAGACAUAUUGUAUUCUACCCUAUGUUUUUAUGUUUUUGAUCAGUUGCAAACCCUGAAUUUCAGUGACUUUGUAUUUCAUA